GACGAACGCUGGCGGCGUGCUUAACACAUGCAAGUCGAACGGUAAGGCCCUUCGGGUACGACGAGUGGCGAACGGGUGAGUAACACGUGGGUGACCUGCCUCGAGCUCUGGGAUAAGCCUGGGAAACUGGGUCUAAUACCGGAUAUGACCUUUGACCGCAUGGUUGGGGGUGGAAGGUUUUUCGGCUCGAGAUGGGCCCGCGGCCUAUCAGCUUGUUGGUGGGGUGAUGGCCUACCAAGGCGACGACGGGUAGCCGGCUGAGAGGGCGACCGGCCACACUGGGACUGAGAUACGGCCCAGACUCCUACGGGAGGCAGCAGUGGGGAAUA
This 329-nucleotide ribosomal RNA is filed under the name uncultured bacterium. Its description in RNAcentral is "bacterial SSU rRNA". It matches the Rfam family "Bacterial small subunit ribosomal RNA", at positions 28 to 363 of the family's 1533-position model. The record is from RNAcentral.